GGGGAAGCCGGUGCAAUUCCGGCACUGACCCGCAACCGUGAGCCGCCCGCCUCUGGUGGACGGUGAGCCGGACUGCCC
Molecule: non-coding RNA, 78 nt
Filed under: Streptomyces sp.
Lineage: Bacteria; Bacillati; Actinomycetota; Actinomycetes; Kitasatosporales; Streptomycetaceae
Source: RNAcentral